Molecule: ribosomal RNA, 331 nt
Filed under: uncultured eukaryote
Lineage: Eukaryota
Description: partial 18S ribosomal RNA
Rfam family: Eukaryotic small subunit ribosomal RNA
Source: RNAcentral
CCCUUAGAUGUUCUGGGCUGCACGCGCGCUACACUGUCGGAUUCAGCGAGUCAUAUCCUUAACCGAAAGGUUUGGGUAAUCUUUUGAAAGUCCGACGUGAUGGGAUUGAUCAUUGCAAUUAUUGAUCAUGAACGAGGAAUUCCUAGUAAGCGCGAGUCAUCAGCUCGCGUUGAUUACGUCCCUGCCCUUUGUACACACCGCCCGUCGCUACUACCGAUUGAAUGGUUUAGUGAGAUCUUCGGAUUGGCGCCUACGCGGCUUCUCUGAGGCCACGCUGGAUGCCGAAAAGUUGCUCAAACUGUAUCAUUUAGAGGAAGUAAAAGUCGUAACA